CAUUACAGAGUACGAGCGUACUACUCUCUAGUGGUGCUCUAACCUCCACCCUUGAAUAAAUUACCUUUGUUGCUUUGGCGGGUCGUCUUUGACCAGCGGCUUCGGCUGUUGCGUGCCCGCCAGAGGACCACAACUCUUGUUUUUAGUGAUGUCUGAGUACUAUAUAAUAGUUAAAACUUUCAACAACGGAUCUCUUGGUUCUGGCAUCGAUGAAGAACGCAGCGAAAUGCGAUAAGUAAUGUGAAUUGCAGAAUUCAGUGAAUCAUCGAAUCUUUGAACGCACAUUGCGCCCUUUGGUAUUCCGAAGGGCAUGCCUGUUCGAGCGUCAUUAUAACCACUCAAGCCUUCGCUUGGUAUUGGGGUUCGCGGUUUCGCGCUCCUAAAUCAGUGGCGGGGCCUGUCGGCUCUACGCGUAGUAAUACUCCUCGCGUCUGGGUCCGGAGGUGACUUGCCAGCACCCCCAAAUUUUUACAGGUUG
This 478-nucleotide ribosomal RNA is filed under the name uncultured fungus. RNAcentral describes it as "eukaryotic LSU rRNA". The stretch from base 175 to 328 matches the Rfam family "5.8S ribosomal RNA". Lineage: Eukaryota; Fungi. The record is from RNAcentral.